This 798-nucleotide ribosomal RNA is filed under the name Triticum aestivum (bread wheat). RNAcentral describes it as "partial small subunit ribosomal RNA". The record is from RNAcentral. Lineage: Eukaryota; Viridiplantae; Streptophyta; Magnoliopsida; Poales; Poaceae.
AUGCCUCGGACGAUGGUAUCCCGCGCUCUCCUGCUCGCCGCCGUCGUCCUGACGGCCCAGCUGUGCGCGUGCACGGCGUACGCCGUCAGCGGAGGCGAUGGGUUUAGCGUGGAGUUCAUCCACCGUGACUCGGUCAGGUCGCCGUUCCACGACCCGACGCUCACCGCGCCUGCCCGCGUGCUCGAGGCCGUGCGGCGGUCCGCGGCUCGCGCCGCGGCGCUCUCGCGCUACUACGUCCGCGUCGACGCGCCCUCAGCUGACGGCGGCGUCGUGUCCGAGGUCACGUCCAGGUCGUCCGAAUACCUGAUGGCCGUGAACAUAGGCACGCCGCCCACUCCUAUGACCUUCGCGGCGCCGGACCAGUCCCCCGUCAUCGUCGACUCCGGCACGACGCUCACAUACCUCCCGGAGGCGCUUUUAGACCCACUUGUGAAGGAGCUGACACGGCGGAUCAAGCUCCCGCCUGCCCAGUCGCCAGAAAAGUUCCUGCCGCUGUGCUUCGACGUGAGCAGGGUGCGGGAGGGGCAGGUUGCGGCCAUGAUCCCUGACGUGACGCUGGGGCUGGGCGGCAGCGUUGCGGUCACGCUGAAGGCGGAGAACACGUUCGUGGAGGUGCAGGAGGGGAUCCUGUGCUUGGCGGUGGCGGCGAUGUCGGAGCAGUUACCGGCGUCGAUCAUCGGGAACAUCGCCCAGCAGAACAUGCACGUUGGGUAUGAUCUCGACAAGGGCACCGUGACCUUCGCCCCAGCAGACUGCGCGAGUUCCUACCCCGCCCCCUCACCCUCCGGUUCUGUGUAG